Molecule: non-coding RNA, 84 nt
Filed under: Robbsia andropogonis
Lineage: Bacteria; Pseudomonadati; Pseudomonadota; Betaproteobacteria; Burkholderiales; Burkholderiaceae
Description: Burkholderia andropogonis sRNA-Xcc1
Rfam family: sRNA-Xcc1
Source: Rfam by way of RNAcentral
GGGCGGGAGUGCGGCUAAUACAAGACCCGUAAGGGGAAUAUGCCCGCCGUCUAGUCGCGGUUUUGAGCUCCCGCCCACCUUCCU